Molecule: ribosomal RNA, 506 nt
Filed under: uncultured bacterium
Lineage: Bacteria
Description: partial 16S ribosomal RNA
Rfam family: Bacterial small subunit ribosomal RNA
Source: RNAcentral
AGUGAACGCUGGCGGUAGGCCUAACACAUGCGAGUCGAACGGCAGCACAGGAGAGCUUGCUCUCUGGGUGGCGAGUGGCGGACGGGUGAGGAAUACAUCGGAAUCUACUCUGUCGUGGGGGAUAACGUAGGGAAACUUACGCUAAUACCGCAUACGACCUACGGGUGAAAGCAGGGGACCUUCGGGCCUUGCGCGAUAGAAUGAGCCGAUGUCGGAUUAGCUAGUUGGCGGGGUAAAGGCCCACCAAGGCGACGAUCCGUAGCUGGUCUGAGAGGAUGAUCAGCCACACUGGAACUGAGACACGGUCCAGACUCCUACGGGAGGCAGCAGUGGGGAAUAUUGGACAAUGGGCGCAAGCCUGAUCCAGCCAUACCGCGUGGGUGAAGAAGGCCUUCGGGUUGUAAAGCCCUUUUGUUGGGAAAGAAAUCCAGCUGGCUAAUACCCGGUUGGGAUGACGGUACCCAAAGAAUAAGCACCGGCUAACUUCGUGCCAGCAGCCGCGGUAA